RNAcentral lists this microRNA precursor (146 nucleotides) under Gorilla gorilla gorilla (western lowland gorilla). RNAcentral describes it as "miRNA (ENSGGOG00000039781.1)". The stretch from base 16 to 86 matches the Rfam family "mir-3689 microRNA precursor family". Lineage: Eukaryota; Metazoa; Chordata; Mammalia; Primates; Hominidae. The record is from RNAcentral.
GAUCCUGUGCUCCCUGGGAGGUGUAUCCUGUGCUUCCUGGGAGGUGUGAUAUCGUGGUUCCUGGGAGGUGUGAUCCUGUGGUUCCUGGGAGGUGUGAUCCUGUGCUUCCUGGGAGGUGUGAUAUUGUCUUCCUAGGAGGUGUGAUC